GUGAACGCUAGCGGCGUGCCUUAAGCAUGCAAGUCGAACGGUGGUAGCAAUACUACAGUGGCGGACGGGUGAGUAACGCGUAGGAAUCUACCCUAAAGUGGGGGAUAACCCGCCGAAAGGCGGGCUAAUACCGCAUGUGAUCGCAAGAUCAAAGCUCUUAACUGAGCGCUUUAGGAGGAGCCUGCGUCCCAUCAGCUUGUUGGUAGGGUAAAAGCCUACCAAGGCGACGACGGGUAGCUGGUCUGAGAGGAUGAUCAGCCACAAUGGCACUGAGACACGGGCCAUACAUCUACGGAUGGCAGCAACUGGGAAUCUUUGACAAUGGGCGAAAGCCUGAUCAAGCGACGCCGCGUGAAGGAUGAAGGCCUUAGGGUUGUAAACUUCUUUUGCCAAAUCGUCGAGAUUUGGAGAAUAAGCCGCUGCUAACUACGU
This 432-nucleotide ribosomal RNA is filed under the name uncultured bacterium. Its description in RNAcentral is "bacterial SSU rRNA". It matches the Rfam family "Bacterial small subunit ribosomal RNA", at positions 29 to 506 of the family's 1533-position model. The record is from RNAcentral.